RNAcentral lists this ribosomal RNA (429 nucleotides) under bacterium. RNAcentral's name for it is "partial 16S ribosomal RNA". It matches the Rfam family "Bacterial small subunit ribosomal RNA", at positions 355 to 776 of the family's 1533-position model. The record is from RNAcentral.
UAGGGAAUCUUCGGCAAUGGGGGCAACCCUGACCGAGCAACGCCGCGUGAGUGAAGAAGGUUUUCGGAUCGUAAAGCUCUGUUGUAAGAGAAGAACGUGUGUGAGAGUGGAAAGUUCACACAGUGACGGUAACUUACCAGAAAGGGACGGCUAACUACGUGCCAGCAGCCGCGGUAAUACGUAGGUCCCGAGCGUUGUCCGGAUUUAUUGGGCGUAAAGCGAGCGCAGGCGGUUUAAUAAGUCUGAAGUUAAAGGCAGUGGCUUAACCAUUGUUCGCUUUGGAAACUGUUGAACUUGAGUGCAGAAGGGGAGAGUGGAAUUCCAUGUGUAGCGGUGAAAUGCGUAGAUAUAUGGAGGAGCACCGGUGGCGAAAGCGGCUCUCUGGACUGUAACUGACGCUGAGGCUCGAAAGCGUAGGGCGCAAACAGG